CGAAUGCUGACAUAAGUAACGAUAAAGCGGGUGAAAAGCCCGCUCGCCGGAAGACCAAGGGUUCCUGUCCAACGUUAAUCGGGGCAGGGUGAGUCGACCCCUAAGGCGAGGCCGAAAGGCGUAGUCGAUGGGAAACAGGUUAAUAUUCCUGUACUUGGUGUUACUGCGAAGGGGGGACGGAGAAGGCUAUGUUGGCCGGGCGACGGUUGUCCCGGUUUAAGCGUGUAGGCUGGUUUUCCAGGCAAAUCCGGAAAAUCAAGGCUGAGGCGUGAUGACGAGGCACUACGGUGCUGAAGCAACAAAUGCCCUGCUUCCAGGAAAAGCCUCUAAGCAUCAGGUAACAUCAAAUCGUACCCCAAACCGACACAGGUGGUCAGGUAGAGAAUACCAAGGCGCUUGAGAGAACUCGGGUGAAGGAACUAGGCAAAAUGGUGCCGUAACUUCGGGAGAAGGCACGCUGAUAUGUAGGUGAAGUCCCUCGCGGAUGGAGCUGAAAUCAGUCGAAGAUACCAGCUGGCUGCAACUGUUUAUUA
This 533-nucleotide ribosomal RNA is filed under the name Escherichia coli. RNAcentral's name for it is "partial 23S ribosomal RNA". It matches the Rfam family "Bacterial large subunit ribosomal RNA", at positions 1291 to 1809 of the family's 2925-position model. Lineage: Bacteria; Pseudomonadati; Pseudomonadota; Gammaproteobacteria; Enterobacterales; Enterobacteriaceae. The record is from RNAcentral.